UGCAGAUUUCAGAAGCUGUGUUUGAGUUG
This 29-nucleotide non-coding RNA is filed under the name Macaca fascicularis (crab-eating macaque). The record is from RNAcentral. Lineage: Eukaryota; Metazoa; Chordata; Mammalia; Primates; Cercopithecidae. RNAcentral also lists the same sequence under 1 other name.